CCGGCACGGCGGAGGAGCGGGAGGCGCAGCUCGUCGAUUUCCAGAAGGCGCGCGACGACUGGAGCGAGAACAGGAAGAAGGGGUUCCAUUCAUGCGGCGAUUUGUUCCUGAGACUGCAGCUGAAAAGGGAAAGCGGAAUCGAUCUGCUCGGAAUCCCGCCGGUGAGGAUCGGAGAGAACGAAGAGAUCAGCUACGAAGCCGCCACGACAGCCGUGAAGAAGGCGCUGCGGGUGAACCGGGCGGUCCAAGCCAGCGACGGCCACUGGCCGGCCGAGAACGCCGGCCCGCUCUUCUUCACUCCCCCUUUGGUGAGCUUAUAAUUUUUUUUUACUAUUUUAAUUCUGUAACUAAUUGUUUAGUAACGUUUUGUGCGACAGCUGAUAUCUUUGUACAUAAGCGGGAUGCUGAACAAGGUGCUGACACCUGCGCACAUUAAGGAGCUCAUCCGCUACAUCUACAACCACCAGGUGAUUUUAUCAAUCAUGCCAAAUUGAUGUAUUUAAUUAUUAAAGAAAAAGACUAAAAAGAAAAAAAGUGGUGGAGAUGCAUAACGGUGUUUGUACGGUGCAGAAUGAGGAUGGGGGGUGGGGAUUUUACAUAGAAGGGCACAGCACAAUGAUUGGAUCAGCGCUAAGCUACGUGGCGCUAAGGAUACUGGGGCAGGGACCAGAUGACGGCGACGGCGCCAUGGGCAGAGGAAGGCAGUGGAUUCUUGAUCACGAAGGCGCUACCGGAAUACCCUCAUGGGGAAAGACGUAUCUUUCGGUAAUAUAUUCACUAUUUAAUUUCCACACAUAUAUCUAUCAAUGUUUUGGACACAUGCAUAUUCUUAAGUCGUCUACUAAUGUGGUUGAACCGAAAUUUAAACAAAAAAUCAUUAAUUUCCUAUGUAUAUCAGGUAAAUAGUUAGUUGGUAUGACUACGAAAUUAAAAGUAGGACUAAAAGAAAUGAAAGACAAUUUGUGGGUAAUCACUCAAGAUAUUCUUAGAAUUCAGAUACAUUAUUCAAAAACUAGAAAAUUAAAUCUUUGGGAGAAGUAGCAAAUAUCUCCCUAAGUCCCUAUUAUAUAACCUCGUAACAUAUUUAUCAUCUUAUCUUUUGAUUUUGGGCUGUUAGCUCCUCAACAUCUUAUAAGGAGUGCAAAAUUCCCCCUAUUUUUGACGGGACACUUUACUCCGUCAAUAUUUUUCAUUUUUUAUUUAUUAUUAUCUCUCAAGUGGAUCUCACUCUAUUUAUCAAUGUAUUAGGAAGAAUGAACUUUCAUUUAUUUGGUAUUUUUAAUUAACUUUUAUUCUUUUUGAUAUAAUCCCGAAAAUAUAUAAAAGCAGUCGCGCCUUCGUUUUUUAUUAUUUCAUUUAUUUCUAUUUUUUUUUCAUCGGGUUUCACUGAAUUUUGUUACGUUGAAGAAGAAAAUUUUCAAAUUUGUUGAGGAGCUAACAACUUAAAAUCAAAAGAUAGGGAGAUAAAUAUGUUAAGAGAUUAUACGAUAGGGGCUAUUAAUUUGCUACCUCUCCCUGAAAUCUUUAACCUGCCCCUAAGUAACAUCCAUCAAAAACUUUUAACCAUGAAGUAUAAAUUUUGAUGAUGAAAAUGCUUUCAGGUUCUUGGAGUGUACGAAUGGGACGGUUGCAACCCUCUUCCCCCGGAGUUCUGGCUCUUCCCUUCCGUUUUCCCUUACCAUCCAGGUACGGGGAGCUCUGUUUUUCGUUUUUGUUUUUUGUUUUUGAUUCGAUACUAAACAAACAUCGGAAUGCAGCAAAGAUGUGGUGUUACUGCCGCACAACCUACAUGCCAAUGUCGUACCUAUACGCGAAACAGUUCCACGGGCCCCUGACCGACGUCGUUUUGGCCCUCCGCAACGAAAUCCAUUUGAAACCCUACGACGAGAUCGACUGGAACAAGGCGCGACACCACUGUUGCAAGGAGGAUAUUUACUACCCUCACUCGAAGAUCCAGGAUGUUCUGUGGGACACUCUCAACUACUGCAGCGAGCCGCUGAUGCGGCGCUGGCCGUUGAACAAGAUCCGGCAGAAGGCCAUGGACAAGGCCAUCAAAUACAUGCGCUACGGCGCUGAGGAGAGCCGAUACAUCACCAUCGGAUGCGUCGAGAAGGUAUUAAAUUAAUUCAUUAAUAAAUUAAUUGGUGGCUCUUGCUCCAUCGAUCAUAUUCAUUAACGCUACUGUUUUAUCGAUUGAUGCAGAGCCUGCAGAUGAUGUGCUGGUUCGCACACGACCCCAACUGCGACGAAUUCAAGUACCACUUAGCUAGAGUUCCCGACUACAUGUGGCUGGCGGAAGACGGCAUGAAGAUGCAGAGCUUCGGGAGCCAGCUGUGGGACAGCACGCUCGCGACGCAAGCAGUCAUCGCGAGCGGCAUGGUGGAGGAAUACGGCGACUGCCUCAAGAAGGCGCAUUUCUACAUCAAAGAGUCGCAGGUGAAGGAGAAUCCCAAGGGGGAUUUCAUGGCCAUGUAUCGUCACUUCACCAAAGGCUCCUGGACUUUCUCUGAUCAGGAUCAGGGCUGGGUCGUCUCCGACUGCACCGCCGAGGCGCUCAAGUGUCUGCUUAUGCUGUCGCAAAUGCCGACGGAAAUCGCCGGGGAGAAGGCCGACGUGGAGCGCCUCUACGACGGUGUGAACGUGCUCCUUUAUUUGCAGAGCCCUCUCAGCGGCGGAUUUGCGAUCUGGGAGCCGCCGGUUCCGCAGCCGUAUCUGCAGGUUUUGAACCCUUCGGAGCUCUUUGCGGACAUCGUGGUUGAAUCAGAGUAAGAUUUUUCAUUCAAUUGAAGAUUCAUCGCAUUUUCAUGGGCGCGGCUAAAACAGAGUGUGUUUCUUAUUCAGGCACGUGGAGAAUACUGCUUGUAUAAUCCAAGCACUCGUCUCGUUCAAGCGUCUGUAUCCAGGCCAUCGCGCCAAAGAAAUCGAAGGCUCUGUCGCACGUGCGAUUAAAUUCCUCGAAGGAAGGCAAUGGCCUGACGGUUCAUGGUGAGCUACUUUUUUACUCUUAUGUCGAGCAUUAGUGUAUUUUGAACUGAAACUCGACUUGCAAUCGACAAAUCUCGAGUAUUAGUGCACUUUUAAGAAUGCUCGACCGUGUCGAGCAUUUGUUUAGUACUGAUGCUCGACUUGCAGGGUGGUGAAAAUUGUAUCUACUCAUUUUAAAAGAUAAAAUUUUGAAAAUACUAACGUUUUACAAAAUAUAUAAAUUAUACCCAUUUAAAACUUUUUUACCUUUACGUCGAAUAUUAGUGCAUUUUCUAAGAAUGCUCGAUUGCUCGACUAGCAGUGGUCGAACAUGUUGAGCGUUGGUGCAUUCACCACUAAUGCGUAAUGCUUGACAUGGUCGACUUGCAUUGAUCGAGCAUCAUUUCAAACAAAGUUUGCGAUUUAAUUGGUACUUCCACUUCCCUGAAAGAAAAAAAAAGAGAGUAAAUUUGAAUGAUGAAUGGUAUUGCAGGUAUGGAUACUGGGGAAUUUGCUUCUUGUAUGGGACGUGCUUCGUAUUGGGAGGAUUUGUUGCAGCGGGUAAGACGUAUGAGAACAGCGAAACAGUGAGAAAAGCUGUGAAUUUCUACUUGACAACACAGAACGAAGAAGGUGGAUGGGGAGAAAGCCUCGAGUCCUGCCCAAGCAUGGUAUUAAAUCUAUAAAUAAAUAAAUAAAUCAAAUCAUAGAAAAAGAUGAAAUUAAACUCUUAACAAUACGAUGAUGUUGUUACAGAAAUACAUUCCUUUGGAAGGAAACCGCACAAAUUUGGUUCAGACAUCAUGGGCCAUGCUCGGUCUUAUGUAUUCUGGACAGGUUAGUCCUAAUUCGAUCUGCAAUAAAAUAUAUAAUUAAUAUCUACUUAUUUAAUGUAUAAUCUAAAUGAAUUUUGUGGUAUUUUUGAUGGAGCAGGCGGAGAGGGAUCCGAAACCUCUACACAGAGCAGCAAAGCUGUUGAUUAAUGCACAAAUGGACGAUGGAGAUUUUCCUCAAGAGGUAUUUAAUUACAAAAACACACACUUGUAUUUUCAUUUGGUGUUAAAAAUCUGUGAGUUGCUAAAAAAAGAAAAAAUUUGAAAAAUGGCAGGAUAUAACUGGGGUGUACAUGAAGAACUGCAUGCUGCAUUACGCGCAAUAUAGGAAUAUAUUCCCGCUGUGGGCACUGGGAGAGUAUCGCAAACGAGUCUGGUCAUCGCAAUGCUUGUAAACAGAGUAUAUGAGAGCAACCAUAUUCAAAACAAAUAUAUAUAUAUGUAUUUAUAGAUAUAUAUGUGUCUGUGUGAAGAAUGCUUGGGUGAAAAAUCUGUGACAGCCCAUGUCAAAGAACUAGUACAAAAUAACCAUGUGAAAGAUAGCUUGCGGAAGUCUGCAAUAACGAAGCUCGCCAAGUGUUGUUCCUUUUCUUUUUCUCUGUUUUUAGUGUAAAUUAUGUAAUAUCAGCUUUUAAGUUAUCAUGAUCUGUUGAUUUCCCAAUUGUGAAUUUGGAAGUUGAAAUUUCCAGCAAUUCCCAGUCACAUUUUUUAAUUUUUUUUUAGUAUUAUAAUGGGACUCUCUAAAAAUUAGAAACUAAUUUAUUGUUGGAGUAGAUGUUAGGUAAGUUUUCAAAGCUGAUGUGGCAAUUUGGAAGCUGAAAUUCUAGUUCACCAUUUGAGGCAUCACAAUCGGGGUUGUGAUGCGAUGGUGAACGGCGUUUGGUUGAGCCACGGCGAUGGCUGAUUAUGCCGAAAAAUGGAUGAAAUAUGCGACAAUGGCGCAAGAUUUAGGAGGAGAAAUUGCUAAGUUAGGCAAGAGGUUUUCAUAUAUAGUCUGAAGAAAAGAAAAGAAAAUGAUACAGUUGGGCAAGUCUGCUGCUGAUGUUCUUGAAAUACAAAUUAAAUUAUAUGGUUGACAAUAGCUCAAGUUCUUCAUCUCUUGCUAACAUCAUUCCCUUCAAAAAUUAUACUGAGGAUUGUGCUGUUAAUUUAUCACUUGAUAUUCGGAAUGAGAUUCCGUGUACCACAUUUUAUGUCCCACUUUGUGUCUCACUUUCAAUUUUGUUUAAUUUCUUAUAUAUAUUUUCUUAAAUUUCAAUUUUAUAUGCUUUAGUUUAAUUUUGUGAUUAUUAACUAGAGUUUAUUCCAUCAAUCUAAGGUAUAUAAUUGUUUUUUAUCAUUUAAUUUCACUUUUAUUAGCUAAUAAUAGGUUGAUAAAUUUAAAGUGAUGGUAUAUACAUUUUAAAAAAAUUUAAUUUUUUGAAAUAAAUAUUAAAUAUAAUUCAUAGUAUUAUAAUAAAUUUUAUUUUUAUAAAAAAUAUUUUUAAAUAGUAGAUAUAAGCAUGAGACACAGUGGCACACAUGAAAUUGUGGGACACUGGAUCUCAUCCCGAUUUGGGAUGUCAAAAGUGCGAUUGGAGAAAUAAAAGCGAGGUUGUGGAGCUGGAACAAGACUUUUAAGAUGACCGAUAGGGAUCUUAACUUUCAGUCUUGGAUCUCCAACGACAUCUCUGCUUUACUUGUGUAAUGUUUGGGUACCUAUGGUACCAAUGAAUCCUCAAUAAUAUUUUUUUCUGAUAACAGAAAAAAAAAGUAAUAAAAUGAAGGUUUAUUGGCGCCUAAAUACACGAAUUUUGGAUCUAUUUUAGUUUUCCCACGAACUUUGAAAUUUGUCAAAAAAUAUAUGAACUUUGAUUUAUUUUAUUUUUUCCCACGAACUUUGAGAAUUGUCAAUAAAAAUACGAACUUUGGCUCAUUUUGCUUUUUUUUUUUCUUUUCACAAAAUAUAUUGUUAUAAAAAAAUGGUUCAAAUAAUUCUUUUAUAAUUAAUUAGCUAGCUUAAUUAAUUUAAUUAACUAUAGAUGACAAUUAUUCAUGGUGACACAUGAUUUUUUUUUUUUAAUUUCAAAAUAUAUUCUAUAAUCAAAACGACGUCGUUUUGAAAAGAAAAAAAAAGAAUUAUUUGGAUAAUUUUUUAUGAUAAUAUAUUUCGUGGGAAUAAACAAAUUUAGCCAAAGUUUAUGUAUUUUUUUGAUAAUUCUUAAAGUUUGUGGAAAAAAACAAAAUGACUCAAAAUUCGUGAUUUUUUUUGACAACUUUCAAAAUUCGUGAAAAAAAAAAAAUCAAAACAGACCUAAAAUUUAUGUAUUUAGGCGCCAAUAACCCUAAAAUUAAUUUAUUUGUUUAUGCUACCAAAAGAAAUAGUUGGGCCCAAUUCCACAAACAAUAGUUGGGCUAAAAUCUAUCUUAAGCAACGAAAUUUUGAUCUUUGAAAGCCUAUUGAGCCCAUAGCUGUCCUAACAAGCGUAAUGCAGCAUGCAGUUCUUCAUGAACACCCCAUUUAUAUCAUGUCAUUUUUCAAUUUCUUUCUUUUUUCAACAACACGUAGAUUUUUAAGACCAAACUAAAAUAGAGGUGUGUGUUUUUGUUACCUCUUUGAGGGAAAUCUCCAUCUUCCAUCUGUGCAUUAGUCAGCAACUUUGCUGCUUUGUGUAGAGGUUUCGGAUCCCUCUCCGCCUGCUCCAUUAAAAAUACAACAAAACUCAUUUUGUGUUUAUGGUUAAUUUUUUUAAAAAAUAAUAUAAAUCUUGAGUUAUCCAUUAAGGACUGCUCGUUUGGGGGUUAAUCGGGUCAGUCCGCAGGUUUCGGGCUGGAUUAACAUCCCCUAAAGUGUGAGAUCCUGUGUUCCGUAAUUUAUUAUGUCUCAAUCUCAAUCUUUUUUUUUUGUUACAAAAACAAAAAAUAUUAAUAUGCGUGAUGAUGUCAAAUAUAUUCCAAUUAGGAGAGAAGUAUUCCAAUUAGGAGAGAAGUCCCUAUUAAAUGUGAAUGCGGCACCAACCAAAGAAGUCCCUAUUAGAUUUUCAAUGUGAAUUAGGCGACAUGUCAGGUAAAAGAUAAUUAUCAAUGUGAUCACAACAUCACGUAUAUCUAUAUAUAACAACAUGCAUAUUCAUAUUUAACUAUAUGCAUAUUUAUGUUGCAUAUUUUCAUGAGCGGUACAGAAAAAAAAUAGAUAAAAAAGAAUUUUAAAAUAAAAUAUUAUCAUUAUUAUUAUUAUUAUCAAUAUCCAAAAUUAAUAUUUACUAUUUUACCCCUAUGUGUAUUUCGCCUUGGAAGGUCUCUCACACAUGUCAUGUUCUUAGUGCGCCACACACGCACAAAUGAGUAACCCAUAUUUGGAUCUAUAUACUAAAAUAAGAAGAGGAUAUACAUAAUCCACUUCUUAUGUGUGUGGUGGUUCUAUUAUUGAGAACUAGUAUAAUUUUUGUAAGAAUGUGAGGACCAUUAAAAUUACUAAAUCCAUUAUAAAAAUUAAUGCAUUUGUCGCUAAAACGUUUAUGUCACACUUAUUAAUGGUUAAUAAUUAGUGAUUAAAAAUGUUAUUAACCACACAUAUAUAAUCCUUUACUAUGUGUGGCUAAUACUGUUUAUUAAUUUGUCACAUAAGUAUUAGAUAUUAAGAGUUAAAUAGAAAAUAAAAAGGAUAAAAUAAAUGGGACUAACACUUUUUACCCACACAUAACUACAGAUUCUUAAUUACUAUUGAAAUUUCUGGCUCCGCUGCACACACAUACAAUCUUAAUUUAGAAUCUAUUUCGACAACACCACAGAUUCUUACAUUCAUUUCUUCUCUAAAUUGUGGCAUGAAAUUUAGUAGUAAUGAAAGUAAAUUAAGACUUGUGUAACUUUAACUGCUGAAAAAGCGUGAGCUCUUGUUGAAAUAUAAGAAAGACUUCAUAAUAGAGAGAGAGAAAACCAUCUUUCAUUUCAUCGCAUUCUCCUAUUUAUGCAAGUUUUACAAGUUGGUGUUUGUACACCAGUUUACACAGGAUAACUUACUCAGCUAACUAACUCCCUAACCAAUUCUGUUUACUAACUAAUGGGAGCUUAACAGAUUCAAAAUCCAACGGUAAUAUUCAAUAUUCAAUAGCUCUAAAUUGUGCGCUUCAUGCAUCUUAUAAAAGCCUAGUAUUUCUCGAAGCUUAACUAUUUCACCGGAAAAGUAUUUCAGCUUACCAAAACACGGAAGAAAAAAAAAUGUGGUGGCUGAAGAUCGCAGAGGGCCACGGCCCGUAUCUGUACAGCACGAACAACUUCGUCGGCCGGCAAAUAUGGGAGUACGACGAGAACGCCGGCACGGCGGAGGAGCGGGAAGCGCAGCUCGUCGAUUUCCAGAAGGCUCGCGACGACUGGAGCGAGAACAGGAAGAAGGGGUUCCAUUCAUGCGGCGACUUGUUCAUGAGACUGCAGCUCAAAAGGGAAAGCGGAAUCGAUCUGCUCGGAAUCCCGCCGGUGAGAAUCGGAGAGGAUGAAGAGAUCAGCUACGAAGCCGCCACGACCGCCGUGAAGAAGGCGCUGCGGGUGAACCGGGCGGUCCAAGCCAGCGACGGCCACUGGCCGGCCGAGAACGCCGGCCCGCUCUUCUUCACUCCCCCUUUGGUAAGCUUAUUAAUUUU
RNAcentral lists this long non-coding RNA (8413 nucleotides) under Salvia miltiorrhiza (redroot sage). RNAcentral describes it as "long non-coding RNA (SMIL_LNC006468)". The record is from RNAcentral. Lineage: Eukaryota; Viridiplantae; Streptophyta; Magnoliopsida; Lamiales; Lamiaceae.